Molecule: microRNA precursor, 63 nt
Filed under: Canis lupus familiaris (dog)
Lineage: Eukaryota; Metazoa; Chordata; Mammalia; Carnivora; Canidae
Description: miRNA (ENSCAFG00000056324.1)
Source: RNAcentral
UACAGAUGAGCAAAGAAAGUGGUUUCUUAAAAUCAAAUCUAUUCCUGGUUAAGAUGAUGUGAA